This 487-nucleotide ribosomal RNA is filed under the name uncultured bacterium. Its description in RNAcentral is "bacterial SSU rRNA". It matches the Rfam family "Bacterial small subunit ribosomal RNA", at positions 40 to 507 of the family's 1533-position model. The record is from RNAcentral.
CGGCAGGCUUAAUACAUGCAAGUUGAGGGGCAGCAUGAUAUACGCGAGUAUAUUGAUGGCGACCGGCGGACGGGUGAGUAAUAGGGUAGGAGACCUACCUCAGUACAGGGGGAUAGCAUAGGAGAAAUCUGUGGUAAUACCCCAUGAGGUUAUAUGAAUAGAGGCAUAUAAUCAAAGCAUAAGCGAUUAUGCGGUAUGAGAGGGGCCUACUGACCAUUAGCUAGUUGGUGAGAUAAGAGCUCACCAAGGCGAAGAUGGUUAGGGGUUUUGAGAGAGAGAUCCCCCACAUUGGAACUGAGAUACGGUCCAGACUCCUACGGGAGGCAGCAGUAGGGAAUAUUGGGCAAUGGGCGGAAGCCUGACCCAGCCAUGCCGCGUGAAGGAAGACGGCCUUAUGGGUUGUAAACUUCUUUACUAUGCGACUAACUAGAUUUACGAGAUAAUUCUAUAGAAUGUAGCAUAGCAAAAAGCACCGGCUAACUCCGUG